CGAGUAGGCGGGAUCAUAAGUCAGAUGUGAAAUCUGGGGGCUCAACCCCCAAACUGCAUUUGAAACUAUGAUUCUUGAGUGAUGGAGAGGCAGGCGGAAUUCCCGGUGUAGCGGUGGAAUGCGUAGAGAUCGGGAGGAACACCAGUGGCGAAGGCGGCCUGCUGGACAUUAACUGACGCUGAGGAGCGAAAGCGUGGGGAGCAAACA
RNAcentral lists this ribosomal RNA (207 nucleotides) under uncultured bacterium. Its description in RNAcentral is "partial 16S ribosomal RNA". It matches the Rfam family "Bacterial small subunit ribosomal RNA", at positions 568 to 774 of the family's 1533-position model. The record is from RNAcentral.